Molecule: long non-coding RNA, 788 nt
Organism: Paramormyrops kingsleyae
Lineage: Eukaryota; Metazoa; Chordata; Actinopteri; Osteoglossiformes; Mormyridae
Source: RefSeq, a predicted model, not a curated record
GUUUAGCCCGACGAGUGUUUGAAGCUCAAAGAUUUCGGCAGCUGGGAAUCACUACCGUUUCGAAUCGUCCGGAUGCCGCAAAGCGCAAAAAAUCUGAUUAAGGCCGUUUCUCUAGGAGUUUAUUUGUCAGGAGCGAUUGUUUAGCGGUGAUUAGUAUGUAUGCUGAUGCUUGCAGCCUCGCAGCUACGGCUGGUUGUGGUACCUGUGCAGAGCAAACCGGGGGCUCGCGAACACCCUUGCAAUAGUUUAACAUUAUCGCAGUAAGUUUCUGCGAAUUUGGCUGAGCGACUGGUUAAAAAAACACAAUCUGGAGAGGAUGGUCUGUUUAAUCAUCCUACUAGUUUGACUCUCCCUGCAAACCUGGACUGGAAGCGACUGGAAGAUGAAUGCCGAUGUCAUCAGCAGCGAAGCCCUACAUUCUACCAUCUGAGAUCCGCAGAACCGGCUCUUCGUUCACCGGCAGACCUAAAUAACGCCUUAAAACAUGGCAGCGUGCUAAAUAAGGACCGUGAUCCACACCCAUCCAUCACCAUCCCGCUACAGAGUGUGAGAUUCACCUUGUUCCCCACAUCCAUUUCCAUAAAAUCCGUUACACGGCAGCAUAAAACAUGGAAUCCGUUCCAUGUAAAAAAAAAAAAAAAAGUCUGCAGCGUGGAUGAAUGGAUGAAAAGGCGAAAUAACAUUAAACAUGUCAGUCCUGUGUGAAAAAUAUGUCUGCGGCUUGAAUGAAAGGAUGGAUGCCGUGAAGACAUCCAGACCCUACCCCGCGCCGUGUACAGACCUCACUU